This 253-nucleotide ribosomal RNA is filed under the name uncultured bacterium. Its description in RNAcentral is "partial 16S ribosomal RNA". It matches the Rfam family "Bacterial small subunit ribosomal RNA", at positions 524 to 776 of the family's 1533-position model. The record is from RNAcentral.
GACAGAGGUGCCAAGCGUUAGGCGGAAUCACUGGGCUUAAAGCGUGUGUAGGCGGGUGCCUAAGUACCUUGUGAAAUCCCCCGGCUCAACCGGGGAACUGCUGGGUAUACUGGGUGCCUUGGGUCAUCUAGGGGCUGCCGGAACAAAUGGUGGAGCGGUGAAAUGCGUAGAUAUCAUUUGGAACGCCAACGGCGAAAGCAGGCAGCUGGGGAUGCACCGACGCUGAGACACGAAAGCCAGGGGAGCGAGCGGG